GCGUUAAUCGGAAUUACUGGGCGUAAAGCGUGCGCAGGCGGUUUUGUAAGUUUGUCGUGAAAUCCCCGGGCUCAACCUGGGAAUGGCGAUGAAGACUGCAAGGCUAGAGUUUGGCAGAGGGGGGUAGAAUUCCACGUGUAGCAGUGAAAUGCGUAGAUAUGUGGAGGAACACCGAUGGCGAAGGCAGCCCCCUGGGUCAAAACUGACGCUCAUGCACGAAAGCGUG
Molecule: ribosomal RNA, 226 nt
Filed under: uncultured bacterium
Lineage: Bacteria
Description: partial 16S ribosomal RNA
Rfam family: Bacterial small subunit ribosomal RNA
Source: RNAcentral